UAGAACAGACUCUUGAGAGAACACAUGAUG
This 30-nucleotide non-coding RNA is filed under the name Mus musculus (house mouse). The record is from RNAcentral. Lineage: Eukaryota; Metazoa; Chordata; Mammalia; Rodentia; Muridae.